RNAcentral lists this ribosomal RNA (1241 nucleotides) under metagenome. RNAcentral describes it as "bacterial LSU rRNA". It matches the Rfam family "Bacterial large subunit ribosomal RNA", at positions 1564 to 2815 of the family's 2925-position model. The record is from RNAcentral.
UGAAUACGAGACGCUAAGGCGUCGAAGUAGUGUAUAUCAGACUUCCAAGAAAAGCUUGCACUGUCAUAGAUAAAAAAUGCCUGUACCAUAACCGACACAGGUGGGUAGGUAGAGUAUACUAAGGGGCGCGAGAUAACUCUCUCUAAGGAACUCGGCAAAAUAACUCCGUAACUUCGGGAGAAGGAGUGCCUUAUUUAUAAGGUUGCAAUAACAAGAUCCAAGCAACUGUUUAUCAAAAACACAGGUCUCCGCUAAGUCGUAAGACGAUGUAUGGGGGCUGACGCCUGCCCAGUGCCAGAAGGUUAAAGAAGUUGGUUAGCAAUUGCGAAGCUGAUAACUGAAGCCCUGGUGAACGGCGGCCGUAACUAUAACGGUCCUAAGGUAGCGAAAUUCCUUGUCGGGUAAGUUCCGACCCGCACGAAAGGCGUAAUGAUUUGGAUACUGUCUCGGAGAGGGGCUCGGUGAAAUAGACUUGUCUGUGAAGAUGCGGACUACCUGCACCAGGACAGAAAGACCCUAUGAAGCUUUACUGUAACUUGAAAUUGAAAUUGGACUUUAUUCGCGCAGCAUAGGUGGGAGGCGUUGAUUAUAAUCUUGCGGGAUUAUUGGAGCCAUCAGUGAGAUACCACUCUUGUAAUGUUAGAUUUCUAACUUUGAAUCAUUAUCUGGUCAAAGAACAGUUUCAGGCGGGCAGUUUGACUGGGGCGGUCGCCUCCUAAAUGGUAACGGAGGCGUACAAAGGUUUCCUCUGAACGGUUAGAAAUCGUAUCUAGAGUGUAAAGGCAUAAGGAAGCUUGACUGUGAGACCUACAAGUCGAGCAGGGACGAAAGUCGGUCUUAGUGAUCUGACGGUACUGAGUGGAAAGGCCGUCACUCAACGGAUAAAAGUUACUCUAGGAUAACAGGCUGAUCUCCCCCAAGAGUUCACAUCGACGGGGAGGUUUGGCACCUCGAUGUCGGCUCAUCGCAUCCUGGGGCGGUAGUACGUCCCAAGGGUUGGGCCGUUCGCCCAUGAAAGCGGUACGCGAGCUGGGUUCAGAACGUCGUGAGACAGUUCGGUCCAUAUCCGGUGUAGGCGUUAGAAUAUUGAGAGGAGCCUUCUUUAGUACGAGAGGACCGAGAAGGACAUACCUCUGGUGUACCAGUUAUCGUGCCAACGGUAAACGCUGGGUAGCUAUGUAUGGAGUGGAUAACCGCUGAAAGCAUCUAAGUGGGAAGCCCACCUCAAGAUAAGUAUUCCC